AACGCAUAUUGCGCCCUCUGGUAUUCCGGGGGGCAUGCCUGUCCGAGCGUCAUUGCAACCCUCAAGCACGGCUUGUGUGUUGGGCCAUCGUCCCCCCGUGGACGGGCCCGAAAGGCAGUGGCGGCGUCGUGUUCCGGUGCCCGAGCGUAUGGGGCUUUGUCACCCGCUUGGAGGCCCGGCCGGCGUCAGUCGAUCACCAUCUCAACUGGAGGACCCCCCUCGCGGGACCUCGACCGGUUGACCUCGGAUCAGGUAGGGAUACCCGCUGAACUUAA
Molecule: unclassified non-coding RNA, 275 nt
Filed under: uncultured Onygenales
Lineage: Eukaryota; Fungi; Ascomycota; Eurotiomycetes; Onygenales
Description: sequence contains ITS2
Rfam family: 5.8S ribosomal RNA (bases 1-52)
Source: RNAcentral